This 20-nucleotide unclassified non-coding RNA is filed under the name Mus musculus (house mouse). RNAcentral describes it as "oocyte_clustered_small_RNA10406". The record is from RNAcentral. Lineage: Eukaryota; Metazoa; Chordata; Mammalia; Rodentia; Muridae.
UAUGCCGCCCUGUGAUGUGG